UAUACGACUCUCGGCAACGGAUAUCUUGGCUCUYGCAUCGAUGAAGAACGUAGCGAAAUGCGAUACUUGGUGUGAAUUGCAGAAUCCCGCGAACCAUCGAGUCUUUGAACGCAAGUUGCGCCCGAGGCUAUCCGGCCGAGGGCACGCCUGCCUGGGCGUCA
This 161-nucleotide ribosomal RNA is filed under the name Ornithogalum brachystachys. RNAcentral describes it as "5.8S ribosomal RNA". It matches the Rfam family "5.8S ribosomal RNA". From Rfam's summary of the family: 5.8S ribosomal RNA (5.8S rRNA) is a component of the large subunit of the eukaryotic ribosome. Lineage: Eukaryota; Viridiplantae; Streptophyta; Magnoliopsida; Asparagales; Asparagaceae. The record is from RNAcentral.